AAUGCCCUGUACGAGAUUUGGU
Molecule: microRNA, 22 nt
Filed under: Caenorhabditis briggsae
Lineage: Eukaryota; Metazoa; Nematoda; Chromadorea; Rhabditida; Rhabditidae
Description: Cbr-Mir-193-P2-v2_3p (mature (guide))
Source: RNAcentral